Molecule: ribosomal RNA, 305 nt
Filed under: uncultured bacterium
Lineage: Bacteria
Description: bacterial SSU rRNA
Rfam family: Bacterial small subunit ribosomal RNA
Source: RNAcentral
AGGCUCCUACGGGGGGCAGCAGUGGGGAAUAUUGGACAAUGGGGGGAACCCUGAUCCAGCGACGCCGCGUGAGUGAAGAAGUAUUUCGGUAUGUAAAGCUCUAUCAGCAGGGAAGAAAAUGACGGUACCUGACUAAGAAGCCCCGGCUAACUACGUGCCAGCAGCCGCGGUAAUACGUAGGGGGCAAGCGUUAUCCGGAUUUACUGGGUGUAAAGGGAGCGUAGACGGUGUGGCAAGUCUGAAGUGAAAGCCCGGGGCUCAACCCCGGGAGUGCUUUGGAAACUGUCAUGCUGGAGUGCUGGAGG